ACUCAAUAAAUACACAAAAAGAUGAAAUAUCAAAAUUAGAAUCACAAAUAGAUAAUUUAGAAUAUAUAUAUCAACAUGAACUAUUCACAAUAAAAUGAACAAAGAAGAAUUUAUAAUAGAUGAAAAACUAUAUGAAAACCACGAAGGAUUAAAAAUAAAAAUAGUAUUUUCUAAUCUAGGAAGAAGAUAUAAGAAAAUAGGUGAACAUUUAUAUCUAAUGUUAGAAAAAGAAGAAUUAAAAUUAGAAGAUAAAUUAACAGCAAUGGUAAGAAUAGAAA
RNAcentral lists this long non-coding RNA (278 nucleotides) under Capsicum annuum. Its description in RNAcentral is "long non-coding RNA (CANN_LNC004669)". The record is from RNAcentral. Lineage: Eukaryota; Viridiplantae; Streptophyta; Magnoliopsida; Solanales; Solanaceae.